ACCUGGCCUUGUGGUGUGCCUGCCACAGUUCCUUAGCUUUCAUGCUGCCAAUCCCUGUUAUACCCCUGCAUCCCCUAGGCAGACCUUUCAUAGAGGUCCAAGUUUCUAAGACUACUCCAUACCUGUGAUUACACAGGCCCUUCUCUCCACAGGCCCAGGAGAUCCAGUAUCUCGUGUCUACUCCAGGCAGAACCUCAUCUAGAGCAUGUAACUGGUACGAGCAGUUGGCACACAAGGGAGAGCUGCUAGGCUAUGGAACAGUGACAGACAUUAUCUGCCAUGAUUAAACCCUCUGAACAAGCACAAAGCUCAAAGGAGAAGAAUUUAUUAAACUUGUGCUCUCCAAUCUAGUCUCCUUGCUCGGAGGAAGCCUGAAGCAGUGCCCGUUAACAGUCUGGACGGCAAGAGAUCAUUUUCAUCUUACAAAAAUAUCUUACGAGACGACAGACGCUCAAUGAAAGAUGACAACCUGGCAAUGUACAACAUGCUGUUUCAGAAUUGUGGAAAGCUCUAACUCCCUUUGUGAACAGUAAUUCCGCAGUGUGACAAAGACAGUUACAAUAUUUAAAGACACAGACAACCCUUAUCAAGGUUAUGUACUUUCAUAGUAACUCUGCUUCAGAUUUUGAUGGUGGAAUGUAACUCAAAUUUCAAAAAUAUGUGAUAGAAAAUUCAAAAGAAUCACAGUAGCAUUACAGCACUGACUCCAGUGCUGCAAAAAUGCAAAUUAAA
Molecule: long non-coding RNA, 732 nt
Organism: Mauremys mutica (yellowpond turtle)
Lineage: Eukaryota; Metazoa; Chordata; Testudines; Geoemydidae
Exons: 4
Source: RefSeq, a predicted model, not a curated record